AUUUUUUGCAAUGAUUAAGAGAAUGGCAAAGGAAAUAGAGGGGCUGGUAGAGGAAAAAGAGAUCGUACCUGUUUGAUUCUCUGGUGGUGGCUGCCCAACAAGGACUCGAGGAGACAAAGUGAAAGAGAGAAGGACGUGCGCGUAGGCCACCAUCAUCCCCGUGCAGUACCGGAAACAGGGGACACCACCUAGCAGGUGUCCCCGUGCUUCAUAGCCAAGAUCCACUGUCAAUGUCGGCCCAAAAGUGCUUAAUGGAAGUUUGAACUCUAAAGCAUCUCAUUUCUCUAACAAUGGAGCAAUGUCCACAACAGGUGCGUAAGUAAGCUGGACGUUUCCCUUUCGAUGGUAAUUUCCUCUUUCUUCAAGGUUCAUGGAAAGAGACUAUCCACAAUAACACACAUUGACUGAAGACUGGGAAGUGUUCCUGGAGAUGAUGAGACUUCAGCCAUCAGCUCCCACAACAACAGAUAUCGUGAUCAUCACAGACACAGACAAAUAAGAAAGGAUAUGCUAACGCAAACAAUGGCAGAACUUACAAGUUUUCUUCGUCGACUGAACCACCAUGAACGAUGGAAGCCGCAACAAGAGGGUCUUUGAGAAGAUUGCAUAAUCUUUCAAAGUGCUGCUUGUUUAAUAUUCUUGAAAUUACCUUUGACUCCACUGGAUUUUCACCAUAAAAUCUUCUAAUGAUCUUCUUUAGUAAUUCUAUCUAGAAGAGAACCAACAACUUACUAUUAGAAAAGUAAAAGGGUAAAUGAACAUUUUGGUUCUCAAAUGUGUAUAAAUGGAUGACUAUUUAGUAUGAAAGAAUGAAAAUUGUAAUUUAGUCUUGAA
This is a long non-coding RNA of Glycine soja, 834 nucleotides long. RefSeq lists it as uncharacterized. The record is from RefSeq and is a predicted model, not a curated record. NCBI's taxonomy places the organism in Eukaryota, Viridiplantae, Streptophyta, Magnoliopsida, Fabales, Fabaceae. The transcript is spliced from 3 exons.